Molecule: ribosomal RNA, 580 nt
Filed under: uncultured bacterium
Lineage: Bacteria
Description: partial 16S ribosomal RNA
Rfam family: Bacterial small subunit ribosomal RNA
Source: RNAcentral
UGGGGAAUUUUGGACAAUGGGCGAAAGCCUGAUCCAGCAAUGCCGCGUGUGUGAAGAAGGCCUUCGGGUUGUAAAGCACUUUUGUCCGGAAAGAAAUCCUUGGCUCUAAUACAGUCGGGGGAUGACGGUACCGGAAGAAUAAGCACCGGCUAACUACGUGCCAGCAGCCGCGGUAAUACGUAGGGUGCAAGCGUUAAUCGGAAUUACUGGGCGUAAAGCGUGCGCAGGCGGUUUGCUAAGACCGAUGUGAAAUCCCCGGGCUCAACCUGGGAACUGCAUUGGUGACUGGCAGGCUAGAGUAUGGCAGAGGGGGGUAGAACUCCACGUGUAGCAGUGAAAUGCGUAGAGAUGUGGAGGAAUACCGAUGGCGAAGGCAGCCCCCUGGGCCAAAUACUGACGCUCAUGCACGAAAGCGUGGGGAGCAAACAGGAUUAGAUACCCUGGUAGUCCACGCCCUAAACGAUGUCAACUAGUUGUUGGGGAUUCAUUUCCUUAGUAACGUAGCUAACGCGUGAAGUUGACCGCCUGGGGAGUACGGUCGCAAGAUUAAAACUCAAAGGAAUUGACGGGGUCAUAGCUG